GACGGGGGAUGCAAGCGUAAUCCGGCAUCACUGGGCGUAAAGCGUCUGUAGGUGGUGAUGCAAGUCACUGGUGCAAAACUCUGGCUCAACCGGAGGAAAGCCAGUGAAACUGCAUGACUAGAGUGUGGGAGAGGUAGAAGGAAUUCCCUGAGUAGCGGUGAAAUGCGUAGAUACAGGGAAGAACACCGUAGGCGAAAGCGUUCUUCUGGAACACAACUGACACUGAGAGACGAAAGCUAUGGGAGCGAAUGGG
This 253-nucleotide ribosomal RNA is filed under the name uncultured bacterium. RNAcentral describes it as "partial 16S ribosomal RNA". It matches the Rfam family "Bacterial small subunit ribosomal RNA", at positions 524 to 776 of the family's 1533-position model. The record is from RNAcentral.